Molecule: unclassified non-coding RNA, 405 nt
Filed under: soil metagenome
Description: partial contains 5.8S ribosomal RNA, internal transcribed spacer 2, and large subunit ribosomal RNA
Rfam family: 5.8S ribosomal RNA (bases 2-120)
Source: RNAcentral
GUGAAGAACGCAGCGAAAUGCGAUAAGUAAUGUGAAUUGCAGAAUUCAGUGAAUCAUCGAAUCUUUGAACGCACCUUGCGCCCUUUGGCCAUUCCGAAGGGCAUGCCUGUUUGAGUAUCAUGAACACCUCAACUCUUCAUGGUUUUCCAUGAUGAGCUUGGACUUUGGGGGUCUUGCUGGCCUGUGGGUCGGCUCCUCUCAAAUGAAUCAGCUUGCCGGUUUUUGGUGGGCAUCACAGGUGUGAUAACUAUCUACGCUUGUGGUUUUCCACCAGGGUAACCUUCAGCAGUGGAGGUUCACUGGAGCUUACAAAUGUCUCUCCUCUGUGAGGACAGCCCUUUGAAUGUUUGAUCUCAAAUCAGGUAGGACUACCCGCUGAACUUAAGCAUAUCAAUAAGCGGAGGA